Molecule: long non-coding RNA, 497 nt
Filed under: Heterocephalus glaber (naked mole-rat)
Lineage: Eukaryota; Metazoa; Chordata; Mammalia; Rodentia; Bathyergidae
Description: lncRNA (ENSHGLG00000039809.1)
Source: RNAcentral
CGCAUCUUGAUUCUGGUUGAGAACCCUCUACUCUCUGAGUGGCUACUUAAGCCCAUACAUUGGCUACUAAAGCCAGGCUGCUUCAGAAACAUGAAAUAAAAAGCACCAGAGACAAAAGUGUGAAACAAAUGGAUGUGGUUUCUAUGUCCUGCUGGUGAAGGAGAAGACAGCUAGCAAGCAGGAACCUCUGCUGUCACAGUAUUGGAGGCUGGGAAGUCCAAGAGGGUGAUGCUCCAGAUUCCAUACCUGCACCAGCAUUAUGGUUGCUCAGUUUCUUCACAAAGCAAAUCAUGAAGAAGUACAGACCUGACUUAAAGAGUUACUAGCUCUUUUGGAAAAGUACAAGAAGUUGAAAUACUAUGAGGCACUUUCAGAAGGUGCUCACCAAUUGAUUAGGAGCUCCAUAUCUGAACCUCAUACUCUUUUGGAAAGCACUAUUUCUGUACAUCCGUGUAUGUGGUGUGCCUGCCUCCUAAAGCCAAGUACACAGAGGAAAG